GCUUAACACAUGCAAGUCGAACGGUAACAGGAGAAGCUUGCUUCUUGCUGACGAGUGGCGCACGGGUGAGUAAUGCAUAGGUAACGUGCCCCUUAGUCUAGGAUAGCCACUGGAAACGGUGAUUAAUACUGGAUACUCCUUCUUCCUUAAUGGAAGUUGGGAAAGUUUUUCGCUAAGGGAUCGGCCUAUGUUGUAUCAGGUAGUUGGUGAGGUAAUGGCUCACCAAGCCUAUGACACAUAGCGGGUCUGAGAGGAUGAUCCGCCACACUGGUACUGAGACACGGACCAGACUCCUACGGGAGGCAGCAGUGGGGAAUAUUGCACAAUGGACGAAAGUCUGAUGCAGCAACGCCGCGUGGAGGAUGACACAUUUCGGUGCGUAAACUCCUUUUAUAUGAGAAGAUAAUGACGGUAUCAUAUGAAUAAGCACCGGCUAACUCCGUGCCAGCAGCCGCGGUAAUACGGAGGGUGCAAGCGUUAUUCGGAAUCACUGGGCGUAAAGGGUGCGUAGGCGGUUUGAUAAGUCUGAUGUGAAAUCCUAUGGCUCAACCAUAGAACUGCAUUGGAAACUGUCAAACUAGAAUACUGAAGGGGCAGAUGGAAUUAGUGGUGUAGGGGUAAAAUCCGUAGAUAUCACUAGGAAUACCGAAAGCGAAAGCGAUCUGCUGGGAAGUUAUUGACGCUGAGGCACGAAAGCGUGGGGAGCAAACGGGAUUAGAUACCCCGGUAGUCCACGCCCUAAACGAUGAAUGCUAGUCGUCGGAAAGCUCGUCUUUUCGGUGAUGCAGUUAACACAUUAAGCAUUCCGCCUGGGGAGUACGGUCGCAAGA
This 830-nucleotide ribosomal RNA is filed under the name uncultured bacterium. RNAcentral describes it as "bacterial SSU rRNA". It matches the Rfam family "Bacterial small subunit ribosomal RNA", at positions 46 to 893 of the family's 1533-position model. The record is from RNAcentral.